ACCGGGCCUCUAGUAUAUACUAAAAUUGGAAUGAUAUAGAGAAGAUUAGCAUGGCCGCUGCUCAAGGAUGACACGCAAAUUAGGCAUUUCCAUGUAAAAUUU
Small nuclear RNA from Pipistrellus kuhlii (Kuhl's pipistrelle), 102 nucleotides. NCBI's taxonomy places the organism in Eukaryota, Metazoa, Chordata, Mammalia, Chiroptera, Vespertilionidae. The record is from RefSeq and is a predicted model, not a curated record.